GUGAAUCAUCGAAUCUUUGAACGCACAUUGCGCCCUCUGGUAUUCCGGGGGGCAUGCCUGUUCGAGCGUCAUUACAACCCUCAAGCUCUGCUUGGUAUUGGACGCCGCCGGUUCUGGCGCGUCUUAAAAUCAGUGGCGGUGCCAUUCAGCUUCAAGCGUAGUAAUUAUUCUCGCUUUGGGUGCUGGGUGCGGACCUGCCAUUAACCCCAAAUUUAUUAAGGUUGACCUCGGAUCAGGUAGGGAUACCCGCUGAACUUAAGCAUAUCAAUAAGCGGAGGA
RNAcentral lists this unclassified non-coding RNA (279 nucleotides) under Alatospora sp. RNAcentral describes it as "partial contains 5.8S ribosomal RNA, internal transcribed spacer 2, and large subunit ribosomal RNA". The stretch from base 1 to 71 matches the Rfam family "5.8S ribosomal RNA", at positions 84 to 154 of the family's 154-position model. The record is from RNAcentral. Lineage: Eukaryota; Fungi; Ascomycota; Leotiomycetes; Leotiales; Leotiaceae.